RNAcentral lists this ribosomal RNA (253 nucleotides) under uncultured bacterium. RNAcentral describes it as "partial 16S ribosomal RNA". It matches the Rfam family "Bacterial small subunit ribosomal RNA", at positions 524 to 776 of the family's 1533-position model. The record is from RNAcentral.
CACGUAGGGUGCGAGCGUUGUCCGGAAUUAUUGGGCGUAAAGAGCUCGUAGGCGGUUCGUCGCGUCGGCUGUGAAAACCCGGAGCUCAACUCCGGGCCUGCAGUCGAUACGGGCGGACUUGAGUGUUGCAGGGGAGACUGGAAUUCCUGGUGUAGCGGUGAAAUGCGCAGAUAUCAGGAGGAACACCGGUGGCGAAGGCGGGUCUCUGGGCAACUACUGACGCUGAGGAGCGAAAGCGUGGGGAGCGAACAGG